Molecule: long non-coding RNA, 1368 nt
Organism: Lingula anatina
Lineage: Eukaryota; Metazoa; Brachiopoda; Lingulata; Lingulida; Lingulidae
Source: RefSeq, a predicted model, not a curated record
GGUUUGGAGUUCGAAAUACUCACAUUCUCAAAUACCCGGAUUAUCUGUAGCAGGCGGAAAAUUUUUCUCUGCAUUGUUAUUUCUGUUUUUAGUGUUUUCAUAUUUCUGAAUAGCCCUGCAAUUGUAAAACAACCAAAGGUCUGGUAGAUAGUUGUCAGCAAUAUGCCACGGGUUAAAUGUCAAACAGAAAUAUGUAAGAUACAGGAUUGUUUGAAGGUCAAUGACUACCAAGAAAGCAAGUGUAGAGAAGUGCUGGAGGAAGCCAUCAAGUGCUGUAAACUGUGCCAGUUUGAUAGUCCUGUCUGUUCAGGGUUCACACACUAUAAUACUGACACCUCCAAAGAUAAUGUAGUAUCACUGGACAAAAGUGAUUUUAGAUUAUAUAAAGAAGACCAGGACAAAAAAGUUGACUCAGACUCAAAAGAAAAUAGAAAAGAUGCCGGGAAAAACAAGGAUGAAAAAGCCUGGAAGUUAUUUUUGUGAUUUUUAUCUGAACAUUGUGAAACUAGAUGUUUUUUAACGCUAACCCUAAGGGACAGACACGGCAUAGAAUGAAGGGCAGUACUGUUUGCAGUCUUACUUUCUUUCUAAUGCAUCUUGUACUCCAGCUCAAGACAUUACACAAAAAGACAUGGAAGUUGUAGAGUACAACUAAGUCACCUAAUGUAUGGUUCAAACUUUCUUUAAGCCUACAGCACAGUAGUAACGUUCAUUACAUUCAGGGAAUCUGACGUUGGUGACGACAACUGAAAUUUUUGCUUUUUAAUGAUUUUAUAUCAAAUGAUUAUAUAAUGAUCAAUAUCCCCAACAGACAUACCAGUAGAGAAGUCACUUCAGUUUAUUUGAAGAAGUCAACUGCAAAAGAAGAGCAUGAGAAGUGAAGAUUGUACCAUAUUUCAUGGUUGGACACAGACGAGGAUGAGCCAAAAUGAUGAAAUUGUAUGCAUGAACACUCCUGUUCACUUAAACGAUGCAAUUGUUCUAUUACAAGCAUUCAUGGACUGAGUUUUACCUAAAUUGAGUCUGUGAUAUUUUGUUUUGGAUAUACUGGAUAGUUUAUAAACUACAAAAAAUGACUUUACAUUUGUAUUUGUGGUUUGUGAAGACAAUAACCUUUAUUUUAUCUACUUUAUUUUCUGUUUACAUUGUAAAAGCAUGCUGUAAACGUGCAACUGUAGGGGUUAAAGCAGGUGCUCUAUGGACUUUUGUGAAAUUAACAGUAACAAAUAAAAAAAAAUCAUUCACCUUUUUUAAUAUUAAAUAAUGUUGUUGGAUCCAAUAGCACUAGAGAAGAGAAGUAUGUUGGAUCCAGCUGCAUAAUCUUGGAUCUCAUGGCUAAUGAUUGAAAUAAAAUGACCUUGAAUAUUA